Molecule: ribosomal RNA, 254 nt
Filed under: uncultured bacterium
Lineage: Bacteria
Description: partial 16S ribosomal RNA
Rfam family: Bacterial small subunit ribosomal RNA
Source: RNAcentral
UGAGUAACACGUGAGUGACCUGCCUUUUAGACUGGAACAACUUACCGAAAGGUGAGCUAAUGCCGGAUGAGUUAUAUAAGUGCAUGUUUAUAUAGGAAAAGUUGGGGAGACCUGACGCUGAAAGAUGGACUCGCGUCCCAUUAGCUAGUUGGUAGGGUAAUGGCCUACCAAGGCGACGAUGGGUAGCCGGCCUGAGAGGGUGGCCGGCCACACUGGGACUGAGACACGGCCCAGACUCCUACGGGAGGCAGCAG